GGCAGUAUAGGAUAGUGUUCAUACCCAUGGGCUCUGAGCCCGAUUCCUUGGGUUCAAAUCCCAGUUCUGCCU
RNAcentral lists this transfer RNA (72 nucleotides) under Pongo abelii (Sumatran orangutan). It matches the Rfam family "tRNA". From Rfam's summary of the family: Transfer RNA (tRNA) molecules are approximately 80 nucleotides in length. Their secondary structure includes four short double-helical elements and three loops (D, anti-codon, and T loops). The record is from Rfam by way of RNAcentral. Lineage: Eukaryota; Metazoa; Chordata; Mammalia; Primates; Hominidae.